AUUGAACGCUGGCGGCAGGCCUAACACAUGCAAGUCGAGCGGUAACACAGAGAGCUUGCUCUCGGGUGACGAGCGGCGGACGGGUGAGUAAUGUCUGGGAAACUGCCUGAUGGAGGGGGAUAACUACUGGAAACGGUAGCUAAUACCGCAUAACGUCGCAAGACCAAAGAGGGGGACCUUCGGGCCUCUUGCCAUCAGAUGUGCCCAGAUGGGAUUAGCUAGUAGGUGGGGUAACGGCUCACCUAGGCGACGAUCCCUAGCUGGUCUGAGAGGAUGACCAGCCACACUGGAACUGAGACACGGUCCAGACUCCUACGGGAGGCAGCAGUGGGGAAUAUGGCACAAUGGGCGCAAGCCUGAUGCAGCCAUGCCGCGUGUAUGAAGAAGGCCUUCGGGUUGUAAAGUACUUUCAGCGGGGAGGAAGGUGCUGAGGUUAAUAACCUCAGCAAUUGACGUUACCCGCAGAAGAAGCACCGGCUAACUCCGUGCCAGCCGCCGCGGUAA
RNAcentral lists this ribosomal RNA (504 nucleotides) under uncultured bacterium. RNAcentral's name for it is "partial 16S ribosomal RNA". It matches the Rfam family "Bacterial small subunit ribosomal RNA", at positions 30 to 523 of the family's 1533-position model. The record is from RNAcentral.